GUAGGCUGCAACUCGCCUACAUGAAGCUGGAAUUGCUAGUAAUCAUAGGUCAGCAUACUAUGGUGAAUACGUUCCCGGGCCUUGUACACACCGCCCGUCACACCAUGAGAGUUGAGAAUACCCGAAGUCCAUGUCAAAGUGGCCGAAGGUAGGCUUGAUGAUUGGGGUGAAGUCGUAACAAGGUACC
RNAcentral lists this ribosomal RNA (187 nucleotides) under uncultured bacterium. RNAcentral describes it as "partial 16S ribosomal RNA". It matches the Rfam family "Bacterial small subunit ribosomal RNA", at positions 1300 to 1500 of the family's 1533-position model. The record is from RNAcentral.